Molecule: small nucleolar RNA, 70 nt
Filed under: Tursiops truncatus (common bottlenose dolphin)
Lineage: Eukaryota; Metazoa; Chordata; Mammalia; Artiodactyla; Delphinidae
Description: Small nucleolar RNA SNORD112 (ENSTTRG00000024344.1)
Source: RNAcentral
UGGACCAACAAUGAGAGUUUGUCAUGAUCCAAGGUCAUGAUUAAUCCAGCCUGCACACCCAAGAUCCAUG